This 514-nucleotide ribosomal RNA is filed under the name Neogloboquadrina pachyderma. RNAcentral describes it as "SSU rRNA". It matches the Rfam family "Eukaryotic small subunit ribosomal RNA", at positions 1164 to 1470 of the family's 1831-position model. The record is from RNAcentral. Lineage: Eukaryota; Foraminifera; Rotaliida; Globorotaliidae.
GCACCACAAGAACGCGUGGAGCAUGUGGCUUAAUUUGACUCAACGCGGGAAAUCUUACCGGGUCCGGACACACUGAGGAUUGACAGGCAAUAUCUCAUGUUAACGGUAAGUUUACUUACCGCUUAACAUCGAGUGUUAAAUAUGCUAGUCCUUUCAUGAUUAUGUGAUAGGUGGUGCAUGGCCGUUCUUAGUUCGUGGAGUGAUCUGUCUGCUUAAUUGCGUUUCACUAAGGGCCCAUAAAUUCAAGGUAUGUUAGCUCUCGUCGCUCUAUGGACCCCUUAACUCCAAUAUUCUUAUUGUGUUAAGCGCGUGUCUUUAUUUUAAGAGUUUUAAGACACUGCGCAUGCUGUUGGGCUCUGAAAGCAACGAACGUGACCGCAACGUCUUGUUGCCUUAAACUAGCGUAUAUUGCAAUUUAUUGUAAUAUCGCUUACAGAGGCUAUUUAAAACUAGACGGACCGCUGUUUCUUUCUUAAACCAGAGGAAGGUUGCGGCAAUAACAGGUCUGUGAUGC